Long non-coding RNA from Manis javanica (Malayan pangolin), 1784 nucleotides. RefSeq lists it as uncharacterized. The record is from RefSeq and is a predicted model, not a curated record. NCBI's taxonomy places the organism in Eukaryota, Metazoa, Chordata, Mammalia, Pholidota, Manidae.
UCCGGCCAGAGGAGAAGGGAAAGGCAGAUGCGUGGUUCAAUCCUCAUGGUCAGCCUCUCAGGACACAGAGCAGAGCAGAGAAAGUAACAGCCCGAGGAGUCCCCUGGUGACAAACACCUGUCCUCCUGAUCAGCUCAAAUGGUUUAGGAGCAGCUGGCCUGUCCGCAUCCCACGGCUCACAGGUGGUCAUGAGAUCAAUGCCUGUUCCACCAACACAGUCCUACCCUGGUCACAGGAAGAUCCACCAGCCAUUUGAGGACUGAUGUGGUAACAGUGGGGCGACCUUCCUCUCUGCCUGCCUCCUGGGAGCAGGACGAGCCAUUCCCUGCUCUGCAGAAGGCAAAGGGAGGGGGGCAGUGAUGACAUCAGCGGGAGGGCCUGGAGAGAGACAUGUUGUGCAGCACAUUCUAUGAACAUGGGAGGAUGAGAUCACUGAACCAUCUACUGCAGGAACAGAGGCAGCACUGCAGCCAGACUCAGGGCCAUGUGCUCAGAGUCGAUGUGAAGCAAGUCCGAUCAGUAAGGAGGUCGUGUCUGCUGCAGACAACCACUUACAUGAUUAAGGGACAGGGCAGGCUGCUGGAGCAAAGAGGUCCUGCCAUGGACGGAGUAUUUGUGUCUCCGCCAAAUAUAUAUGUUGAAACUUAAUCUCCAAGGGUCUCUGAGUCCUCCAGCCAAUGGAGCACCUUGGAAGUGACAUUCUGUGACCUCUGGCCGUGCCCUUCCUGCCUCAUUCACUGGAAUGCUUGCCGCCAGGUGAGGCUGAGACCGGUUAUUUAACCUGCCCAGGGUCAAACGGGGACAGAAAUCCUGCCCAGAACAAACUCUCUCAAAAGCCUGGUUCUCCCCAUCCAGCAUCAUUGAGCAGCUACCCAUAAUCCUCUGCCCAGUUACUUAGCACCCAGGCAUCAACUUCUCCUCUGCAAAGAAUUCAGCGAUGGAAAUUAGGAAGACCUUGCACUCAAGAGGCUCUGUACGUGUGACUGACUAAGGGCACAAUGUGCCUUUUAUGGUCGCAGAACGAACACGGAGCACUUCUGUUGGCAUGGAGCUUUCCUUCUUGUCACUAAGGUAAACAGAGCGUCGGGAUGUCUGUGGGGGUGGGCAGUGGGGCACAAAGGUCUGGUCCACCAGGACUAGAAGGAGGUGAGAAAACAGUCCUGGCACUCCUUGUCCGAAGACACCGUGAGGAGCUCCGUCAGCCCUCCCAGAUCGCAGGCUUGGGGCCAGAAGCUCUUAACACAGGUACAUGGCUCAUUAGCGGGGAAAUGGCAGUGGGUAAUUGGAAUAUGUAAAUGGUAUGGGCACACAGUGUGUUUUAACAAUCAAGACCCAAAGAGAAGGAGCUUAAUUCGGUGGAGAGAAAGGAACAGGCGGCCCAGGAGCCUAUUACUGGAGCCAGAGGAGAGAUGCUCAGCUCAGGGAACCGGGACGAGUGGGGCUGAGGCACUGGGUGAGUUUGUUUCCCCCUCUCAAAUGCCAAGGGACCUGUGAUCCAGCCCUGCCUUUUUCACGUACCAAUUCUUGUGGACUCUCUUUCCUAAAUAUGUUUUGCAGCCAAUCGCCUCCUCUCCAGGAUCUGUUACCAGUUUCCUUCUGGACCUCCACGUCCCAGCUGGGCACCACCAAGAGUCUUGAUUGAGAUUGCUUUCACUGAAGUGUUUCUCCCCCUCCCAAACUCUCCUCCACAGAGUCAUCAGGAAGCGCUUUCUGAAACUUCCUGGGAUCAGUCACAUGAGUCCACGCAUAGAAGAGCUCCUGGUCCCCAAGUUCAUAAACUCAGU